UAGCAUGUAUACUCGGGUCAACACAACCCCAGUCAUUGACGAACUGAAGUUUCUCUGCGAAGUUUUCAAAUCUUUACUGUUUCAGACUACAAACUGAGAUAAUUUAUAUUCUCUACCCAAAUGGAUUUCCGUAUGAAUGUUUGCCUGUUCCUGCUUUUUUUUGUCGCAUAUUCUGCGGUUGAUGGCCGUAAAAGUGAUUCCGCAGAAGUACUCUUUUGUCAGCAUGAUCUUCGUGGUAUGUGCCUGCCUUCAGGCAUAGAUUGUUUUGGUAGGACAGAAGACUGUCCGGGUAUUUGUUUUGGCAACGAACAUUGCUGUUGCCUAAAGUAUUAACCCGCCUGGAAAAUAAAAUGGAAAUGGCAGUUAUGAAAUGUCCAUGCAGUUUACUUUGAUUAAUAAUAAAAACG
Molecule: long non-coding RNA, 407 nt
Organism: Dendronephthya gigantea
Lineage: Eukaryota; Metazoa; Cnidaria; Anthozoa; Malacalcyonacea; Nephtheidae
Exons: 4
Source: RefSeq, a predicted model, not a curated record